AUCAUUCAACUAUUUCUUUCUUCCUUCUGUUGUUCUUCUCAUUAUUAUAAAUUCCUUACUCUUUUGGUUCUUUUGUGAAACUUGUACCUGAGAGGUAGGCAGUUUCCUCUCCGACUGGCCAAAUUGGUCUUCUUUGGUUUCAAAAUAAUGGUUCCAUCAAAUUCGAUUUUCAGAUUUUAAAAAAAAUUUCCUGCUUUACUUUCUAUAAAGGUCUUAUCUAAUGGUGUGUCAUUUGACAUUCAAUGGUGCUCUAUAAUUCCAAGUCGGAUAUGAGACAGGCCACAAGAAGCAUUCCUCAAUUGUGCUUAUUGUUGAAAAUAUAGUAGGUUAUUUGGAUGCUGACAUCUAGAUUGGUGUAUGGCGCAUAGCUGCAUUUUGUUAUCAAUCCCUUAAUGCUUGUCUAUGUCGAUUCUCUCUUCCUGCAAGUUCCUAUUGAUUUCUUAUUUCUAAUCUAAGUACAAUCUCACUUCCUGCAAGUUUCCAGUUCAGUUUCACGAGGCACACAAUUUGCACUGAUACGUUUUGCACUGCAACAGGUCGACAAAAGCACCAUUCAAUCCAGUACACAACUUCUAUAGCUGAGUUGCUUGAGCAGGCAAUUUCUAGUUUUUCCCACAAAAUUCAGAAACUCGGAGAAAGAACUCCCGUGGAUGAUUUGCAUGAUGAAGUAUCUGACAUAAUUUGUGACCUCCAGAAUGCAGCAGUCGACUCAAAUCAAAGCCUUAGAAGAGUUGCAGUUGGGCCAAAUGACCACUUCUUCCUGCCAAGUUCAGCUGGCUAUGUAAACCGCAGAGACUCUGGGUCUGUACCUGAGGAGCGGAAAGAAAGAUCACCAAAUCGGUCAUGCCCUUGUAUAAAUGCGCAUAGUGUUCUUGGCCAAGUAUUAUUUGACGUGUGUGUACCGAAGAACGUGGAAGGUUGGGAUAUUAAAUUUGCCGGUACCUUGAAUGCAAAGCCACUUGCUUCUGUUCGCAAACGGUUACCAUUUAAUGCCACUAAACAUAGAUCAAGAUUAUAAGAUCUUUCUAGCUAACAACUUUUCGACUUUACAGAGUACCGCCACAUAUAACUAUGUUGGACAUAGGACUGCUGCAGUCGUGAUAUUGGAUGGAAGAUAAUGGCAGGAAUUGACUUUACAAAGAGGAUUUCAUACAUUUGAGAAGCUGAAACCUGAUAUUAUAUGGAAAUCUAUGGCAUUGUGUUGGAACACAUGAAGUAUCUGCUGAUACGAAGCACGAAGAUAGUUGAAGGUGAUGAUGUGUAGUUCAAGGUAUAACCACUUUCCAAGAGUUGAUCUAAUUUCUUGUAGUACUCGGUUAUAAUUAUAGUAGAUGUGUGUAUAAUGUAGUUCAAUAGUAGAAAAUAAGCUCAAUGUGAGUACUUUCAAGUUGUAAGUAUAAUAAUGGAAAUAUAUCAAGGUUUUUCUAAUGUUCAUGCAUGAACACAAGUUCCUAUGUUUUGUUAAUGUUGUUUUCUUCCACAUUCAUUAAGCAGCCAGAUAAGUCCCGAACCAUGAUCAUGUAGCUUUUGAAAUUUCAAUUGCUGAAUAUAUGGUUUUGAAACCCAUUUCUUAGAUUCAGUUGAUAUAUGAUGGAGUUAUUUUUUGGUUUUGAAACAUAUGAUUGGCAGAUGGAAUAUGAUGAUUAAGAAACAGGUUUUUGGCGUCAAAAUUCACACCAAUAUAGUCAUGAUUCAGAGGACAUUACUGUAUUUGAAAAAUUAGACCAUCGGUUCUAAUUCACCAGUUAUAUUUUUAUUCAAAAAUAUUUUAAUGCAAAAGACUCGGUCUUUCAAACCAGACAACAAAAUUCAGUUUGUAUAUAGUUUUCUGGAUGGGAAAAAAUGACUCAUCUUGAAUUAAAUGGCAAUAUAAACUAUAGAAAAUGAAUUAUUACACCAUCGAUAAUAUAGCUCUUACAAACUGAGUUUGUAUAUAGUUUUCUGGAUGUCUGCUGAUGAUAAAAAAAAAUGCAUAAAAAGAUUACUAUACACUCCUUAAUAGCCUGGGAAAAUUGGUGGUGGUGGGGAUGCAUAUUGGAAGCCUAAGUUCAGGGGAAGUACGAAGUCCGGCAAGGGUGGUGGUGAUUUGCACUGUAGGUAGGGGAGAGUAGACAGGUGGGGGUGGUGAUUACUGAGGUGAAGGAGGUUAGAGUUUAGGUGGUGGUGGUGGGGGAGAGUGAGCUGUCGGUGGCGGGGCCUGCACCGGAGGUGGAGGAGGUGAGAGUUUGGGUGUUGGUGGUCAUGGUGAGAGUUUAGGUGGUGGUGAUGAGUUAAUAGGUGGUGGUGGGACUUCACUGGAGAUGGAGGGGGUGAGAGUUUAGGUGCUGGUGGUGGGAAAGAUUUGACAGAUGGUGGUGGGGACUGCGCCGGAGGUAGAGGAGGUGAGAGUUUAGGUGCUGGUGGUGGGGAAGAGUUGACAUGUGGUGGUGGUGACUGUACUGGAGGUGGAGGAGGUAGAAAUUUAGGUGUUGGGGGUGGGGGAGAGUGAACUGGUCGCAGUGGGGAGAAAAUUGGUGGAGGAGAGAGUUUAGGUGCUGGUGAGGGUGAGAGUGAGGGUGACUGAAUAGGUUGUGAGUCAACUUGACGUGGGGAGAGUGAACUGGUGGCGGUGGGGAGAAAUUCAUGCUCUUGCUCAAAGACAGCUUGACAUACCUUUUCUGAUCUCUGUUGUGCCUCUUUGCCCAAACAAUUAGUUUUGUCGUCCAACUGAACAUCAGCAACUUCAUUAGGUUGGCACAUUUGGUCUUUUGCCACGAAAUAGUUGGAAGAGUGAAAAUUUUCAAAUUUGGCAAGCUGCAAAUGCUAUCAGAGACCUUUCCUCUAAACAUAUUGUUUGCCAUGUCUACAACUUCCAUAUUCUGCAGGUACGCCAAGUCUACUGGCAGAUCUCCAAUCAAUUUGUUAUUGCUGCUAUGAAUUACAUUUGUGCCAUUCAACAGAGUAAUUAAUUCAGGGAAGCAACCAGAAAGAGCAUUGUUCGAGAAAGGGACCUAGUCCAAUGUGUUCGGCUUGGAAUGCAUCCGAUGAACUUCUUGUUAGAGAUCACUAUUACUGAAGCCGGUGAAUUGCC
Molecule: small RNA, 3070 nt
Filed under: Olea europaea subsp. europaea
Lineage: Eukaryota; Viridiplantae; Streptophyta; Magnoliopsida; Lamiales; Oleaceae
Source: RNAcentral